RNAcentral lists this ribosomal RNA (253 nucleotides) under uncultured bacterium. RNAcentral's name for it is "partial 16S ribosomal RNA". It matches the Rfam family "Bacterial small subunit ribosomal RNA", at positions 524 to 776 of the family's 1533-position model. The record is from RNAcentral.
UACGAAGGGGACUAGCGUUGUUCGGAAUCACUGGGCGUAAAGGGCGCGUAGGCGGCUGGCUCAGUCGGGCCUGUAAGUGCGGGGCUCAACCCCGUGAUGGGUCCGGGACGGGCUGGCUGGGGCGCGGUCGAGGGAGACGGAAUGCCGGGUGUAGUGGUGAAAUGCGUAGAGAUCCGGCGGAACACCGGUGGUGAAGACGGUCUCCUGGGCCGAGGGCCGACGCUGAGGCGCGAGAGCGUGGGGAGCGAACCGG